AAGACCUUGCACCUUUGGAGCGGCCGAUGUCUGAUUAGCUAGUUGGUGGGGUAACGGCCUACUAAAGCUUCGAUCAGUAGCUGGUCUGAGAGGACGGCCAGCCACACUGGGACUGAGACACGGCCCAGACUCCUACGGGAGGCAGCAGUGGGGAAUUUUGGACAAUGGGCGCAAGCCUGAUCCAGCCAUGCCGCGUGAGUGAAGAAGGCCUUCGGGUUGUAAAGCUCUUUCAGCCGGGAAGAAAAGGUUGCGACUAAUAAUCGCAAUUCAUGACGGUACCGAAAGAAGAAGCACCGGCUAACUACGUGCCAGCAGCCGCGGUAAUACGUAGGGUGCGAGCGUUAAUCGGAAUUACUGGGCGUAAAGGGUGCGCAGGCGGUUUUGUAAGUCAGAUGUGAAAUCCCCGGGCUUAACCUGGGAACU
Molecule: ribosomal RNA, 423 nt
Filed under: uncultured bacterium
Lineage: Bacteria
Description: bacterial SSU rRNA
Rfam family: Bacterial small subunit ribosomal RNA
Source: RNAcentral